GACGGCGGCUGAUGUGGCGG
This 20-nucleotide unclassified non-coding RNA is filed under the name Chlamydomonas reinhardtii. Its description in RNAcentral is "small RNA Cre_1585". The record is from RNAcentral. Lineage: Eukaryota; Viridiplantae; Chlorophyta; Chlorophyceae; Chlamydomonadales; Chlamydomonadaceae.